This is a non-coding RNA of Anas platyrhynchos (mallard), 1934 nucleotides long. NCBI's taxonomy places the organism in Eukaryota, Metazoa, Chordata, Aves, Anseriformes, Anatidae. The record is from RefSeq and is a predicted model, not a curated record.
GGCACUGGUCUGUCUAUGAAACAACAGAAUUUUGAAAACAUAAAAGCUGGAUAUGCAUUCUACUGUGUCCAUUCUUGAAUAAUGAAUUGGGUUAAAACAGUCAAGCCAUGUAUGUUCAAGAAAUAAAGGACUUCAUUUCAUGAAGUUCCAGCAAUCCAUAUUGUAUUCUUCAAGGCUAGGCUUUGCAUUGGAGCUCUGGAGCAAAAAGAUGUUCUGUUUCUUCUGUGGUUGGCAGGCUCUCUCUCAUGACAAAUUAUUACAGGCAUUUCAGAAGAGCAGGAAGACAUGCUGGCUGGCUGACUGAUAGUUGGGACCUAUCAACCUAUCUAUAGUGCAAUGCUAACACUUCUUGACACAAGCUAUUGCCAGUUGAGGGAUGCUUCAAAUAUAUUUCAUUUUGCCUGGAGACUGGAGUUCAGUAGAAACAUUUUAAAAGAUGGAUCUUGUUGUUCUCAGUUUAAAGCGAUUUUUAUCCUAUUGAUAUGGGUUCUGCAUAUAUAAGGCUUAUAUCGAGGCAGUGUAAGAAUGUAUAAUUUAUGUUGUCUUACUGCCAUAGUAUGAAUAACAGUCUUUAUGUUUCUGUACUAGUGUAUAUAGAUUUUGUCCUAAAUCAAGUUAAAAAAAAAAAAAAAAAAAAAAAAAAAAAAGCUUUGGUAGUGGCUGAGUUUGUGUUUUAGCUCUACUUCUCCAAAUGAGCAUUUGAUGAAAAUUGAUCGAAACAGAUUCCUUAGAAAAGAUGCAUAGAUGCAUUUUUUGUUGGGGUGACAUCUGAAAAAUGAAGAUUUUUUAAAAUUAUUUUUAUUAUUUUUCUUAUUAUUCCUACUGCUUUCCUUUGAGACAUUGUAACCACUGUCAGGAACUCAGCAGUUUUCAAUAAUUAAGAUGAAUGUUUGGAGUGAAGGCUAAAAGUUUACCAAGGAAGGCAAGUUUAGUAUGCUCACUGACCGAAAGCUCUUGUUAAACUACGACUCUCAAAAUGUGCUUCUGACCUCCUGCCUCUCUUUUUAAUAUUUGAUAUCAUUCCCUAUUAUAUACAUUGUUGGAUAUAUAAUGUAAGCAAAAUGUGCUUAUUUAUCUUGCAGAAUUAUAUUAUAUGUAAUAUUGUUGUCAUUAUUCCUGUGUGACUUCAUAUCUUUAAUUCACUUGUGUGACUGUUCCUGUUGCGGGGAAUUUCUCUCCAAUUCCUAAAUGUCACCGCAUAUGUGUCUUCUAGCAACUAUGACUAAAUUUUUGGACCAGUUUUCCAUCUUUGGACCUUCCAUCUCUGUCACUUAUAACUGUUCACACACUUCUAAUUUGUCCUUAAGGAUUAAUGAGUUUAAACUCAUUAAACUAGAUUUUUGUCUUGCAGUAUCCUGUCCCUCUUUUACAUCUUACUAUCUUGUUUGUUUUACCAACUUGUUCAUGGCAGUCUCAGGAUGUGAGUUCUCCUGAAAGAAUCUGUGGAUUAUUCUGCAUACAAGAACUAAAUAUUUUUUAAUAUCUAUUACAAGAGUUCAGCAUUCAAAACAGACUUAGAUUUAAAAAAAUGAAAACAUUUUAAAUUGAAAGGAUUACUGAUAACCUGCCUCACAUGCUUCUGAAUUACUUGGUUUGUUCUGCAGGCAAAUGUGUGUUUUUGUGGUAGGAAAAGAAGGAAGUUACCAUAGUAACUGUCAUACAAUCCAGUGUGGUGCUUAUGUUACUGUACCUCUGAGAAAAUACAAAGCUACCUUCUUAAUCCCUUUAGUGUUCCUGGUUGAAUGGUGUAUGCCUUGUAAAGUGGCACUUGUAGGUCCCUUGGCUGUAUACUCUAUUUCCCAUCUCCUCCUCAGUAAAGUAAUGGGCCCCUUAUAAGUAGUAAGGGAUAAAAAAACAGCCCAACAUUUAAAGACAGAAACUUAGUGCUCCACUUGAAAAACACACAACUUUACCCCAGACUAUAAUGACUGUGA